Molecule: ribosomal RNA, 476 nt
Filed under: uncultured organism
Description: partial 16S ribosomal RNA
Rfam family: Bacterial small subunit ribosomal RNA
Source: RNAcentral
GUACACUCCUGCGGGAGGCAGCAGUGGGGAAUAUUGCACAAUGGGCGCAAGCCUGAUGCAGCCAUGCCGCGUGUGUGAAGAAGGCCUUCGGGUUGUAAAGCACUUUCAGCGGGGAGGAAGGCGAUACGGUUAAUAACCGUGUUGAUUGACGUUACCCGCAGAAGAAGCACCGGCUAACUCCGUGCCAGCAGCCGCGGUAAUACGGAGGGUGCAAGCGUUAAUCGGAAUUACUGGGCGUAAAGCGCACGCAGGCGGUCUGUCAAGUCGGAUGUGAAAUCCCCGGGCUCAACCUGGGAACUGCAUUCGAAACUGGCAGGCGUGAGUCUUGUAGAGGGGGGUAGAAUUCCAGGUGUAGCGGUGAAAUGCGUAGAGAUCUGGAGGAAUACCGGUGGCGAAGGCGGCCCCCUGGACAAAGACUGACGCUCAGGUGCGAAAGCGUGGGGAGCAAACAGGAUUAGAUACCCCUGUAGUCCCAU